AUGUUCUUCUCCACAAAGAUGUGUGUUGCCACCAUCAUGGUGCUAGCCCUGACACUCUCGCCUCAGGGCACCGUUGACGCUGGCCACUUCUCUUCAAACUCCUGGUGGGAGAUCUGUCCAGAGAGGGACAGAAAUAUGUAUGCAUUAGGACGCACCCCUCGCCACUCUGCAAGUGUGUGCCAAGGCAUCAACUUGUGGAUCGCCAGCGUACUGUGCACAGCAGGGAAACUGCCCGUGCGUAGUAACUAG
RNAcentral lists this ribosomal RNA (249 nucleotides) under Triticum aestivum (bread wheat). RNAcentral's name for it is "partial small subunit ribosomal RNA". The record is from RNAcentral. Lineage: Eukaryota; Viridiplantae; Streptophyta; Magnoliopsida; Poales; Poaceae.